Molecule: long non-coding RNA, 3137 nt
Organism: Gasterosteus aculeatus aculeatus (three-spined stickleback)
Lineage: Eukaryota; Metazoa; Chordata; Actinopteri; Perciformes; Gasterosteidae
Source: Ensembl
AUGUUAGCACACCACUUCUUUUAACAAGUUGAACCCUUGUAGGUAAAGUGACAGCCGCAUGAUGCACUGCUUGGCAGUUUUCAUCCUGGAAAGAAACACAAGGCGAUUUUGGUCAGUAUACACACCAACAGGUGCUACAAUGUAAACAAGUGCUUCCUUCUCGAUCAUACUAUAGUUCCACUGAUGCUUUAGGAACAUUUUGGAGAAGUAAGACGAUCCAGUCCGUCUGUACCUUCCUGCAGAUAUUAUGGUAAGGUAGAUGGGCGUGGGCAGCACACAAGAGUCACAGGGAGGUUCUUCCGACUUGAAAAAUAAGGUAUUUAUUUAAACAUAUAUAUAUAAAAAGUGGCGCACAAGGACGGGUUGAUUCUGCAGGGAAGACUGGCCUCAGAGAGCCCCAGGUAGGAAUCUUCCAGUACUAGGGCAAAAACAGAAAAAGAUGAACAAAGACAGCGUCUUAUCCACAGUGAGCAGCCAGACGGCCUGAAUAGGCAGUUUACCACUCUGACGUCGGAACGAUCUGGCACUGAAUGGCAGGAAGACCCGGGUUCAUAUAGACCCUUUUCACGUCACGCAACUUCCGUUUUUACUCAAAGCCGGGUAAUGUUUACUUCAGCCAGCAUAGAGGAACGCUAUGGAAUAUACACCGUUCCUUCCAAAACAUGGCAAAAAUAAAUCUAGAUGAUGUACAGCGGCUGGCAGACAAAUUUUCACUCACAACACGUUCCAAACGUGAUAAAGGAUAUAAAUUCUUCAUUGAACAGUACCUGUUUGCGUAUGAAGGUAAGCAUUUUGUACUGUCCCGCCCAAAAUUACGUUAGCGGAGGAGUUAGGAUAACGGUAGUUUUUUCUUCUGCAGUGAAAGUCCAUAUUCUUUAUUAAUUUACUGUAACACAGACCUGAAAAACUCUUGUUGCAGUUAUGUUUAUUACUGAUGUUAGCUAUAUUUUGUGUAAGUUAUUGUUAACGUUAGAUACAAGUAAGUAACGCAUUUAUGGUUAAUGUUGUGCCCUUUUACCAAAACAUUGCAUUGGAAUAGUUUCGAAUGUAGUUGUCGAUGAGGUGACAGUGAGAGGGCGUUGUCACAGGUCCAUGAGGAAAAAUGAGGAGGCUCAUCACCUUAAGAUUUUUUCUGAUUUUCAUGUUCUGCUGCAGUUGCAGAAACUUUGCUGUAUCCCACAAAGUUCCAUUGUGGUUCAGUGUGUUUCUCAGCCUGAUGACAAUGAAUGUGUGGUGCCAAAAUCUAGAUGACGACCUUACACUCUGUGUUGGUCUUAGGGGUUCAUUGGACCCAUCAACGACCUUUGCUCAAAUAAAAAUUUAUAAUAACAAUUUCUAGAUCUACAAAAAAAAAAUGUUUUAAUGGAUUGUUAUCUGUUUUUAUGUAGGCGUGACAAAUAGUGACACUCAUGGUCUUUGGGGUCGUUUGGACCUUAGACAAUAACAUUUCAUUUUACAAAAUGAAUAUAUUAUUACAAAUAUAAUUUUACUCUGUUUAUUAAUGUUUUUGUUAUUCAGUUUUUGAAGGUUUUAUAAUGUCUAUAAAUAAAUAAUUAUUAAUUAUUGGACUCAAAAGACAAAAUGUAUCAUCAAUAUCAGAAACAACACAGAACAUUUAGACAGAAAUUUAAAAACAGAAGAGGGUUGUUUGAGGACAAUAUAGGCUGAGAAAUAUGCUGUGUGAUGUUAAAAUCAAAUAGGUGUUCAAAGUUCAUAGACCUGGUUUAAAAGUUUGUUCAAUGAAAUGUACAAUUGUUGUGCAGGAGACUUAUUUUCAUGUUUCUAUUAACAGGUUACAUUUCAUGCUAAAGAGGUUCCUGUGGUACUGAAAUGCAUGUCAGGUACCAGCUCUGCUGGGAAAGCUCUGUGCAACCACAUUGUGGCCUCAUUGUUUCAAAGUGCUCACUACUGUACCAUGGGCUUCAAGCAAUGUACCAUUGCCACUGUCAUGCACCAGCUCCCUGCAGACCUGGCCUAGGACACAUGGAAUUGCUCCUGAGGCAACAAAUGACAUGGUAGUGUGUAAACCAGUACCGAAGUCCAAGGAUCAUGCCCAAACUGGUGUGAAAUGUACACUGUACAGAGCAUAUGGUGGUCCUCUUCCAGAUCCUCACAUCAUUGCCAGUGUUGAGAAACUGCGAGACAAACGCCCACAACCAGGCAUUUGUAAAUUGCUCCACGGGCUUGAGGCCCUUAAUUUUGUGGACUCUAAAUUUGGCCCUGUGCCAUUUGGGUCUUUGCUCUCUUACCCUGGUGCCCCUGGAUUUCCUCAGUUGCCCGUUGAAGGUCAUAAUUUUAAAUAUCAAAUACAAUUUGAGUCUAACUACAAGAAACAAUGCCACUUAGAAAGCCUUAAUCGAAGCACAAACACGACUGCAGUCACAAUGCCCGCUGUGGACCCAGGUACGCAAACCCCGACUUACAGCCAGCAGAUUUGGUGAGAUUUGUCAUGUCCGUGGAGGGUCAACUGCAAAAUCCUUAGCUGUUCGCAUUCUGAGAGAAACUCCUCAGACAGCAGCUAUGAAAAGAGGGCUGGAACUGGAGCCUGACAUACUGAGGCAAUAUUCUGAUUUAUGUGAGGUCACUGUGACGCAGUGUGGGGUCGUCAUCCACCCUGAUGCACCUCACCUUGCAGCCAGCCCUGAUGCUAAAGUCUUCAACCCCAGAGAAACACCACCAUUUGGGUUAGCAGAGGUAAAGAGUUGUGAUGUUGAAGAUGUUUCUCAAGUUAAACACCUGAUCAUAGUUCGAGGCCAGGCCUGCCUUAAGAAAAGCCACAAAUUUUACUAUCAGGUUCAAGGCCAGCUGGCCAUAAGCGGACUUCAGUGGUGUGAUUUCUAACAGAUACUCACACUGACUUCACAGUUGAAAGAAUAUUUAGGGAUGAGGAGAUCAUCAACUCAAUGCGACAGAAGCUGGAUUAUUUUUAUCACAACAUCUACAUGGAUGUGUUAUUACGUUGAGACAGAAUUUUCAAAUGUAAAUAGUUCCAUGUACAUCUGAUGCAUGUUAUUCCUGUUGUAAAUACUUUUUCCAUUUACAACUUAAGUCAGAGUGCAUUGUAUGUAAAUAUCCUUUGUCUUAUCGAGCAGUGAUCACUCUAGUUUUUACAGUCUUAGUUGCAAGGAACUGCUUCC